Molecule: long non-coding RNA, 2262 nt
Filed under: Sus scrofa (pig)
Lineage: Eukaryota; Metazoa; Chordata; Mammalia; Artiodactyla; Suidae
Description: lncRNA (ENSSSCG00050052333.1)
Source: RNAcentral
AAAAAAAAAAGAAAGUUUUGUGAAAUUCAGAUGUUGGUUUUUUUCCUGUGGGGCUCAUUGUUUAGCAGAUGUAUAUGGUAGCUAGACAUUCAUUAUUUUAAGUCUGAUUAGAGGCAAGUUAUGUUUGGGAUCUAAGCAGUCAUGUCACAGGAAGACAAGUACAAGGGACAAGUAAAAACCAAAUAAUUCCGCUAGAGGUAGGCCCUCCUCUCAUGGCGCGCUAGGGAGUAAGAGACGCUUGGGUGGAUUUAUAAGCAAGAUUCCCCUAAAAAUGAGGAAGAGCCUCAUUUGGUCCAAUAUUACAAACCAUCCCUCCUGGGCCAGGCUUCUCUCUGCCACCAUUGUACAGCCCAGCAGACCAAGGCCCAGAGAAUUUUGGUGACGGCUCAAGGACACAUGCUGAUGUCAAAGCCAGGCCUUGUGUUCAUGCCUCCUGACACUUCUUCAAGUAUUAUUUUAAUGCACUGUUCUGCCAGUGGAAGAUGUGUGCCUGUGCACAUGAGCAUACAUGUCACCAAAAGGCUCUCUACGAAAUUUGAAUCACACUAUAAAAUCAUAUUCUCAUCAAUUGGACCGACAUUAGAAAAAAAGCAACUAGUUUUCUUAAAGAAUUUUGAGCAUGCUAUGCAAGGUUGGGAGUUCCCGCCUACUGUGGCGCAGCGGAAACGAAUCCUACUGGUAACCAUGAGGUUGCAGGUUCAAUCCCUGGCCUUGCUCGGUGGGUUAAGGACCCGGCGUUGCGGUAAAGCUGUGGUGUAGGUCACAGACGCAGCUCAGACCCGGUGUUGCUGCGGCUAUGAUGUAGGCCAGUGGUUGUAGCUCGGAUUCAGUCCCUAGCCUGGGCACCUCCAUACGCCACACGGUACAGCCCUAAAAAGCAAAAAUAAAUAAAGAAAUAAAGCCCGGUAAUAGUUUAGUAUUGCUAACAGUGUGUACACUCCCCUGUCCUCAGAUUUCACCUUUUAACAUCCCAAAGACUUCGUUUUCCUUAUUUCCCUUCCCGUCCAACCCUCCUGUCUCUGACCCUUCUUGUCUCCUGCACGCUGGAGGUCAUUUGAGUCAAUGAUGCUGGAUGACAAUAAAGCAGGGAAACAUCAUCAACUGUAUCCGCCUCCCCCCCAUUGCAUCCACCACCAAAACAGGCAGUCACAGGCGUAUGAAACUUUCUUUUGCAUUUAACUACCUGCCAUGUGACCUUGCUAAGAGCCAGGAAACGCUCCCUUUCUGAUUUGCCCUCUUCAUCCUGAAGGAGGAGGCCUCGCUCAUUAUUUCUGAGGAAACAAAAACUGUUAGUAGCUUCAUUUUUUGUUCCGGUAGAGAUAGAGGAACAGAAGACACAUCUCUCCUUACAAAGGAACUUGAGUGUAGACAGAUAGUAUGAGCUCUUAAAUACUUGGUGGUUUCUCUGAUUGAUUCCUAAGUAAAGGACAUAAGUCAAUAACAAGGGUGCCUUUAAGUGACAUCAGCAGAGUUCACCCCUUUUCUUAUAAAUGGGCUGGCAAAGGAGAGGAGACCGUAGGAAAAGCUCUAAACAUAGGAAGUCAGAGAGAAUACUAUAGGAUGCCACAGCUGACUUUAUAACGCGUCCUAUUUAUGAGGCAGUGACGGAGGCAAAUAAGUAUCAAUUGUGUACCGUAUUGCCAGGUCUGCGAAAGCAAAGUCCCAUUAUUUUGGUCAGUGUUUUGCAUACAUAUGGACUGUAAAACUAAGCUUGAUAGAUGAGGUGUCUUACCAUCGUCAGUAUAUGAAUCUGCCUUCUGCUGGCAUGCAACCCUCUGAAAGAUGUUAGUCACCUUUAGACCCUUGGUUACCUCAAAUGUGUGCAAUGUCUCUGCUUAACUUCUAGGACCUGCCUCAUCUUUCUCCUCUCUGCUCAGUUGAAAGAGCUUAUACCAAUGGCCUCACAUUUACCAUUUUCUCACACGGAGAGUUUAUUCAUUUAUUUAUUUAUUGUCUUUUUGCCAUUUCUUGGGCUGCUCCCACAGCAUAUGGAGGUUCCCAGGCUAGGGGUCCAAUCGGAGCUGUAGCCACCAGCCUACACCAGAGCCACAGCAACGCCCGAUCGUUAACCCACUGAGCAAGGGCAGGGAUUGAACCCUCAACCUCAUGGUUCCUGGUCGGAUUCGUUAACCACUGCACCACGACGGGAACUCCUCACACGGAGAGUUUUGAAAUGUGGUACCUUGGAAAGUUUGGCAGGGAGAACCCCUUGCAGAGUGAAAGCAGUUUAUAGCAAACCCACCCAUCUACAGAAACAUUUGU